This 305-nucleotide ribosomal RNA is filed under the name Enterobacter sp. Its description in RNAcentral is "bacterial SSU rRNA". The record is from RNAcentral. Lineage: Bacteria; Pseudomonadati; Pseudomonadota; Gammaproteobacteria; Enterobacterales; Enterobacteriaceae.
AUGGGAUUAGCUAGUAGGUGGGGUAACGGCUCACCUAGGCGACAUCCCUAGCUGGUCUGAGAGGAUGACCAGCCACACUGGAACUGAGACACGGUCCAGACUCCUACGGGAGGCAGCAGUGGGGAAUAUUGCACAAUGGGCGCAAGCCUGAUGCAGCCAUGCCGCGUGUAUGAAGAAGGCCUUCGGGUUGUAAAGUACUUUCAGCGGGGAGGAAGGUGUUGUGGUUAAUAACCGCAGCAAUUGACGUUACCCGCACAAGAAGCACCGGCUAACUCCGUGCCAGCAGCCSCGGUAAUACGGAGGGU